UACGGGGGGAGCAAGCGUUGUUCGGAUUUACUGGGCGUAAGGGGCGCGUAGGCGGCCAGCACAAGUCAGUUGUGAAAUCUCCGAGCUUAACUCGGAAAGGUCAACUGAUACUGUGCGGCUAGAGUGCGGAAGGGGCAACUGGAAUUCUUGGUGUAGCGGUGAAAUGCGUAGAUAUCAAGAGGAACACCUGCGGCGAAGGCGGGUUGCUGGGCCGACACUGACGCUGAGGCGCGAAAGCCAGGGGAGCGAACGGG
Molecule: ribosomal RNA, 254 nt
Filed under: uncultured bacterium
Lineage: Bacteria
Description: partial 16S ribosomal RNA
Rfam family: Bacterial small subunit ribosomal RNA
Source: RNAcentral